CUCCCCACAAAUUCCACACAUGUUGUCACAGAGAUGACCACGCCCAGAUACUCAGAGACUGGAAGACUUGGCUCCUUGGUUUGGAAGCGGCACUGGCUGAGACUUGGUUCUUUGGAAAUAGACAAGGUCCCAUUCCAGGAGGAUUUUCAAGUAGAAGAUGAAUGGACAUCAACUAGGGACACUGAGAAUAAGGGCUUCAUGAUACAAUGUUUGGCUGUCUCUUGAUGGGGAAGGGCAAGUGUGCUCUUGUGGUCAAGUAGGGGAGAGGUGGGUUCUGUCAUGUGGAAGUUUCUUUGAAAUUGCGAAUUUCCACUCAUGGAACAAUGGUGCCAUUAUAAGCUCAGCACCAAGGAAUGUAAAUGUCGCAUUAAAACCUUCUUGAGGUAUCUGCCGUCUCACAAUAUAUAUGCUUCAAAGUGAUGCUACUGCAUUAUAAUAAAGUAUCCUUUUGAUGACAUAUGAUCUGACAGAGCAUUUAUGUGUACGAAACAUCUUUCAA
Molecule: long non-coding RNA, 499 nt
Filed under: Equus asinus (donkey)
Lineage: Eukaryota; Metazoa; Chordata; Mammalia; Perissodactyla; Equidae
Description: lncRNA (ENSEASG00005037441.1)
Source: RNAcentral